CCGGUUCCGGUUCACGCCCGAGCCCGUCGCGCGGUGCGGCGGACGGUGACGGCGACCCGGCGACC
Molecule: regulatory RNA element, 65 nt
Organism: Micromonospora krabiensis
Lineage: Bacteria; Bacillati; Actinomycetota; Actinomycetes; Micromonosporales; Micromonosporaceae
Rfam family: L31-Actinobacteria ribosomal protein leader
Source: Rfam